AGAGAUGGUCACCCAAGAGGGGGGUAAAUUGGGUGUUUUAAAACUUUUUGUCUAAUUAAAACAAGACACACAAGUGUAUGUGCUAAAGUAAGAAUAAAGUUAUAAGUACAGUCAAUCGCAAACACAAAAAUUUAUAGUGGUUCGGAGCUUCCACUGCUCCUACAUCCACUCCCCAAACACCUUUGGGAAUUUUCACUAUAAUCAGCGAUUACAGUCCGGUAGUUUUCCG
This 229-nucleotide long non-coding RNA is filed under the name Phoenix dactylifera (date palm). RNAcentral describes it as "long non-coding RNA (PDAC_LNC012684)". The record is from RNAcentral. Lineage: Eukaryota; Viridiplantae; Streptophyta; Magnoliopsida; Arecales; Arecaceae.